UUUGUGUAGUUAGGUCGUCAUACUUUAUUGGCUACGCGUUAACACAUAUAUGUACAUAUAUUUGCACUUGUACACACUGAAUCUGCUUUAUACUUAGUGUCCUCGCUUUAUCAUUAUCGAUUUCUCUUAAUUUUAACAUUCCCAAUUCAUUGAAAUAAAGUCUUUCGGCAAGCUCCAGCACACACAGAGGUGAAUGCAAAAAUGCGCAAUGUCAGCUAAGGGUAUAUGGCCACUGAAAUAAAUAAAUACAGUAACUAUUCCAAAAUCCGUGAGCAACAACAAGUGACUUCAGUUCGUCCUCCAAGUGCAUCAAGUGGUUUCUGGUAGUGCAUGUAUGUUUUCCAAUCGAUGUUUUGUGUGCGAUAAUAAAGUUUCGACUCCUGUUUUAAAAACUGAAAUUACCUCAAUUUCGAGACAGUCACCAGAAUUUUUACUUUUGUCAGAGUGCGCAAAUUCAAUUCUCACCUAAUUUCCAAUUUAGACACAGAAUCGGUGAUAAAAAAACAGACAAUUUGUGAUAAUCUAGCAGAAAGUGAUUGUGUAAUCUUAUAGUCAUAUUAAGAACAGGAAAUUUGCAUUGGAAUCUAGUUUUGAUUAGUUUUAGAAUAAAUACAUUAAGAAAGUUCCUCAGCAAAGUUUAAAUAAAAUUCCAUAUGGUACAUAUGAUUGAAAUUGUUCAUCCAGGGAAGGUGGACUUUCCUCAACAAGUAAUAAUGAACCGUCCUAUUCAAAUUAAACCAGAAGAAAACGAAAACCGUGGUGACUUAACAUUGAGUGUGAGGUUGAUGGGAAAGCAGUUUUGGUAUCUAAAAACACCUAGCGCAAUUUUAAGAUACCUACACCGCCGAAAAGAUUAAAGAGCUACUGAACAACCUUCACUUACAUGUAUUGUGAUUCUGAAUAUUGAUUGACUACGCAAUAUUUUUGGUUACCAAGUGUGUAUAGUGAGCAAGCUCGAAAGAUUAAGAGUCAUAGAGUGCACAGUCCUAAAUACGGAGCGAAGCUGGAAUAAUCAUAAAACAAAUUCAUGUUCGUUUAGUUUGUGAGUUCAACUUCAACAACUCCAAAUUAUUCACGAACAGCUAUAUUAUGAAAACAUCGCCAUAACAAAAGUUCCAAUAAAUAUACUAUAAAAGUGCUGUAGUGCACAAGAACUAAAUAAAAGUAAACAAAGUUAAUUGACGCGCAAGAUUGUUCGCAAUUACAUCUCAAUGAAGAUGAAUGUUGAAUGGAUCAAAAUAUUGUGCAUUAUUCAUGAAUUUUGAACAAGGAUGCACGAGCAACUUUGAGGUGCGUUUUUAGGCAAUUCAAUCACAUGACAACGGCAAUUCAAUAAGAAACUUGGUAUGGAAAAUAAAUUUUAUCGGCUACAUAGGCCUGGCUUAAAUGUGAUACGCUUGUAGUGCUUAUAUUUUUGAGAAAAGAAACAAAAUAAAACAAUACAAUAUCUGUAUAAUUAAAAAAUACUGCAUUCAAACAACAUCCCAAAUUUCUUCUGAAGAGGUUCACGCAUGUACAUGAAUAUACUUUGCCUGAUUAUAUUUCGAUAAAAAAAUGUAUCAAGAAUAUCAAUGUCACAAAUUCGUUAAUAAAUGGCGUUGCGUCUCCGUUGUUUCCAUAAAGUUACAUUGGAUUUUCAUAAAUGGCAUCAGUGCUUGAUACAGUGGUGAUUGAUUAAAUAUAUGCACUACUUGAAUUAUUUUUCUUUUCGGGAGAAUACUUUUCAAUGAAACGAAAAUUUUAAAUUCCGUUUGGCGAUUGCAUUAAAAUUGUAUCACAUUCAAAGUACAGGCACUCUUGAUGUUGUUCCGUACUUCUGUUGUUUGUAAUUUAGAAAGUCUAUUUAAUAUUUUCCAAUUCCAAUUCGUUUGCUUAUACACGUUGAAUGUUUUAAAUUCCCGCUCAAUAGGAGGAGGCGGCAUACAUAGAGAUCGGAAGCUAUUUGUUGGUAUGCUUAGCAAGCAGCAGACGGAAGACGAUGUAAGGCAGUUAUUUAACCCAUUCGGCGCUAUUGAAGAAUGUACAAUUCUUCGAGGACCAGACGGAACCAGUAAAGGGUGCGCCUUUGUCAAAUUUAGUUCGCAUCAGGAAGCCCAAUCAGCUAUCAGCAGUUUGCAUGGAAGUCAAACUAUGCCUGGUGCCUCUUCUAGCUUGGUAGUAAAAUUCGCUGACACAGAAAAAGAACGGCAACUUAGGCGAAUGCAACAGAUGGCGGGCCAUAUGAAUUUAUUGAAUCCAUUCGUUUUCAAUCAAUUUGGAGCUUAUGGUGCAUAUGCCCAGCAACAUCAGGCUGCACUAAUGGCAGCUGCUACUGCACAAGGAACAUACUUAAGUCCUAUGGCGGCUUUAGCAACACAAAUACCUCACGCACUGAACGGUUCUGCCCAACCUAUAAAUGGAACAAUACCAUCAUUACCAUCACCAACAAUGCCAACCUUCAAUCUUGCAACGCAAACUCCAAAUGGCCAACCAGGAACAACUGACAGUGUCUAUACAAAUGGGUUGCCGCAAACAUAUCCUGGUCCUCAUGCACUUCAUCUUUCCAUCCCAGCGCAGGGUCUUUCUAACGGUGACACAGCACUGCAGCACUCUGCUUAUACUGGUAUGCAACCUUAUGCCGGAGUUGCCUAUCCAGCCAUGUAUGGACAAUUCUCCCAGGCAAUACCGAAUCCAAUAGCAGCUGUAGCACCAACGCAACGAGAAGAUUUUCUGAUGUUCCCAGGAUGUUCUAUUUCGGGACCUGAAGGUUGCAAUCUGUUUAUCUACCACCUUCCACAAGAGUUUGGAGACGCAGAGCUAAUGCAGAUGUUUUUACCUUUUGGUAACGUUAUCAGUUCGAAAGUUUUCAUCGACCGGGCUACGAAUCAGAGCAAAUGCUUUGGUUUUGUGUCGUUCGACAACCCUGCCAGCGCUCAGGCUGCAAUCCAGGCAAUGAACGGUUUUCAGAUAGGCAUGAAGAGGCUAAAAGUUCAAUUGAAGCGGCCAAAAGACGCGAGUCGCCCUUAUUAACAACGAAACUAUCCGGUGGAAGAAAGUGUUAUUCAGCUGCCAGUGCAAAAGAAAAUGCUAUUAUUCUAAUGCGUAUUCGGCCAAAACCGCUAAUGAAUUUGUGAUGUUUCCACCUGUGACCCAUUGAAUAAAUCGGAUUUUCACUUAAGUAUUGGAAUUGAGCGCUAAUUAACCCGUAAAGAAUCAACUGAUCAAAUUUUAUGAUUACGGGAAGUGUUAAAAAAGUACCGACAUCCCAUUACACACAGCCCUGCGUAUUCGUAUAUUAUAUACUUUGGCGGCAUUGGUAGUUUCCAUACAAACAGCCAUAACGAACAAUUAGUACUAUAAAAGUCAACCUUCGGCAACGGGGUAAUAUUUCUGGCAUAAAAUUUCGGUUAAAUAAUUACCACAUUAACACAAUCAGUGCCCACCUUUGAGUAUACUAGUUAAAUAUAAUUUACAUUUUAAUACCUAUUGUAAACAGCAGGAUUGAAAUCAAUAAAAUAUUUAUAGGAAAAAUGAUGGUGUAAAAACAUUUAAACGUUUAUAAUUAAAUCAUAAACAUAAGUUACUUAUACAAUAAAUUUAUUAUUAAAUAUACAUACAACAAUUAUACAUAUUUUACUAAUUAUGAAACUAUUGAUCACCACCAAUAAGUUAAGGAAAAUGUCAUUUGUAAUUUACUUUUAAAGCAGAGGUAUAUUUUAAACACAAAUUGCUUUAUAUACUGAUAUCUUCGAAAUAUAUUUCUGAAAAACGUAUUUAUUAUUAGAAAAAUAAUGUACAAACGUAAAUUUUACAGCUAAGCCAAAUAUUACACAAUAUAUAAAUUUUUAAAUAACGGAAUUCUACUAGAAACAUAUUUUGUAAAAAUAUAAAUUAAACGACUAAAGUUUACAAUCGUAAAAUAAUCUAGGAGAAUUAGUCGCGUUAUUAAGAGAAUGAAAAACCAACAAAUAAAUUAACAAUACAAUAUUAUAUAUACCUACAUAUAAGGGUAAUGCAAAUUUAGCAAAUUGCGUGUUUUAACACGUAAAAACGAUAUUGAUUGCAGAAUUGGCAAUAAAACUUUCCUGCAGUAAAAGAUUUGAUUAUAUCCUAUUUGAUUGCUUGAUUUCUGUUCAUGAAUGGUUUUAUCAUAAGAACAUAUGUCAAUUUAUCCAAAUAACUGGUGAAACUAUUCAACCAUCGACCUUAGUGGUAAUAGAAAACAUUUGACUUCUAAACCUCCAGUAGUUAUUGAGUACUAUCAUUUCCGCAAAAGAAAAAAUGAUUGUUACAUCCAUAGCCGAUUAGCAAACGGAAAAAAAAUAGUUCCAGUUACCGAAAUAAAAUAAAGUUAAAUCUGAUCUAUUAUAUUCCACGAAUGGGCUGUGAUUUAAUUGUAAACAUAUAGAUCUUAGAACGAAGAAACCAAUUAAAUACAAUUUCGUCUACAGCGGCAUCUGCUCUUUAACAUUUUGAAUUUGUUUUUAACUUUGUUUCUGUUGUUCUUUAUAUUAAUGAAAACUUUAAACAGCAUGCUAACAUCUUACAGGAUCCCUUUCUAAUAAAUUGGGAAUAGUGUUGCCAAUUCUUGCCUUUUUAUGAAUAACCUAUUGAAAAGGAAAUCCUAUACCAUAACAAAUAGCCCAUAGCAUCCCACGUUGAAAUAUAAUUGUUGAAACUAAAAUGGGAAACUUAAACUUAGGGUGCGUUCUUACUGGAAACUCAACCAAGGGAAUCAAUUGAUUUACAUCGAUAUAUAGACUUACUUAUGCAGGUUAGUCAUACACUUUAGAAAGUCGUUCACCAAUGAAACGAUAAUUUAUUAAUGUUAACCAUAGUGGGCGAUAGAUAUACAUAAUCACAUUGAGUGUCAACAUAAUGAUUGCCCACAAAAAUAAUUGAGUUUUGCUUUCAACUUGAAUAUAUAUGUUACCUAGCUCAUUGUGAAUAAAUACGUCCAUCAUAUUAAUUUAAGUUUGUUUAUUUUUCAAAUUCUGAAUUCUUAUUUUACAUUUUUGAGUCAAUAUUCUGGGUUCAAAAAUUUUCUUUUACAGAUAUAUUUUGCAAUCUAAUAGAAACGUAACAAUUUCAAGUUCUGUCGAUUUAUAUUCUUAACUAUAGUAAUUGCAUAUUGAAAACACCUGAUAUGAACGUUGCCUUGUUCGUUUAUGCUGUAUCUUGUUGGGUUUCUAAUUUCAUUCUUCUUCUUUUUCUUUACCUGUUCACAAGCGGGGUCGGCUCUUCGUGAUUGAUUGCACCAUUUUAAUCUCUCAUUUGUCUGAUAUGGAUCAAAUCACUAUCCAGCGUAUCAAGCCACCUUUGUUUCAGUCGGCCUUGUGGUGGCUUAUCGUCCACUUGAUGUUCAAAACCAUCUUAGCGAGUAAAUUCUCCUUAGUAAAUUAUCCAUGCCAUCGAGGACGCCUCUCUCCCAAUUUUUUCACGAUCGGUGCAACCCUAUAUCGAUCGGAUGUGGUCAAAGCGUGCCAGGCCACUAGUGCAGGGCAGGAUCUUCGUCUCCAUUACUUCCAACUUCGUUGCCAACUAACAAUUAUGAAGUUCAAAUAUUUCUAUAAAAUUUGUUUCCUCUUGGCCUUAGAUCUGUGUUGAUUUAAUUUUGCUAAAUAAAUUAACAGAGGUGAGUAACAAAAUAACUACAGAACUUCAUUAUUACAUUCAUAAAAAAUAUAACAUUAAUAACAAUUUCUUCACCCUUUUCUUCCUUGGGAAAUUUUCCAAAAAUAAUCAUAAGAAGUUAGCUGAAUCAAGCCAGAAAGCAAAUGUUAUGUAUCUUUAACAAACAGUUUUGGAAAUGCUUCAUAAGAUCUAGAAACAUGAAAAUGAAAUACCUUUUACCAUCUAUUCUAUUCAUCUAUUUAUGCUAUCCACUGUUAUUUGCUGCUAGUUGAAAAGCCUGAUAGUCUACAAAUUCCGUUUUCAUUCAAAUUUUCUCUGACUUUGAGCAAGUAAAUGGAAGGGAAAACCUAAUUCUUAUUGGAUCUGGAGAAAUGGAACAUCUUAGUACGCAGGGUGUGCGACAUUUGCCAGAUGUUAUCCUAGAAUGUGUGCCUGAUGUAAAAAAUCACGACGAAUUGAAAACUCUGUGUCUAUUUUAAUAGCUUACAAAAAUCUUGAGUGGUGUCUCAAAAGGCUGUUAUAAGCGUGUCAAAAUCAAAUCAGUUGCAUUAAGAAAUCUAUAAUAGUUGUAAGGGUUCACAACUUACACUAACAUAAAUCUUACUAUCGUAAAUUUUACAUAUGAUCAACCCGUUGGCCUGUUUUUCUCCAAAUUUCCAUCAUAAACGUUUGUUUGUUUCCAUUUGCAAAGCAGGUUAUACGAAGUAGAAGUCAUAGGAACGAAGCCGCCUGAGCAAAAUUUGAUUAUUUUGUUGAGGAUGUCGCAAGUCAGAUUGAAGGUAAUUAACUUUUUGUCAGUUAACCUUGCUGCAACAGACCGAUUUACUCGCAUUUGAAUUGUCUCAUGAUCCGCCUGCUUGAGAAUUCUUUAAGUUAACUCUCGUUAAUAAGUUUAACUUAUAUUUCAUAUUUUCAACAAAUGUUCCUCUAAUAAUAGCGACACUAUUAUUAUUUGAUAGUUAGGUAAUCUUUUCUUGUUAGUAUUAUUUAUGCCUAUUGCUGCAAAGUUCCUUAAUUCCUUCUCAGGGGACGAACAUUUAUAGCAAUUUUUUGACAAAUCUUUUUCUUUUGGAAAUAAUCAACCUACAAUCCCUAAUAAAAAUUGAAAAUGAAAUGAAAAUAUAAUUUGAAUGUGAUACAUACCUUUUCAUUGAAAAUAAGGGGUUCGCCGCUUCGCCGCUCUGAACGAGGUCUAAGGCAACCAUGAUAUUUGUUUGUCAAGAAGAAGUUCGCUUAGCAGAAAUAUGCUAGAUUAUUUUGUAUAGAUUAAUUAUUCGUUGUGACCUUUGAAUUUUUAAAUAAUUUAAUACUUGUUUCUGCGGGAAUUGCUUGAAAAAUAAUAAAUAUAGGUAUAAUAAAAUUUUGACGCUUGGAAACUACUGAACAGAAAUCAAAACCCCGCUGUAUAUAUAUAUUUCGUAAAUACUUUCAAAAUAUAAUGUUUUUCAAAGUUUAACCGUGAAAAUGAAAGUCAGGUGAAAUUAGAAAAAUGAAAAGAAAAGUUGAUUAAUAUACAAUUUGUUAAAUUUAGUACUUACUAUCCAAAAGAUUUAUUUUUAUGUACCUCAAAUUUAAAUUUUCAUCUUAAUUACAGAGAUGAGUGCCCUAUAAAUUAACAAGCCCUUUAGAUAAUCCGAUAUAAUCAAAUCAGAUAUUGUUAAAAGGAAUAAAAAAUAACAAAUUUAGUUUAAGAUAUAUUGAAAUUAUCCACAAUUGUUAAAUGUUUUUGAGUUUACGGGAUACAAACAGGAUAUUCAUUUAUAACAAUUAUGAGUUCAAUUUAUUGUAGCAAUUUAAUAUGUUAUGAACAAGAAAUGUCAGGCAAUUGAAGCCACUUGAGCGAAUUCAACUUUUUGAGCAUUGCUGCUUUCUUUUUGUAAAUCGAUUAGAUAUCAUCAGCUAAUUUUGAAAAGAAGCAAGAAAGAUUUUAACCGUAUGUACAUACAACAUAUUCAAUAUGCCUAAAAGAAGGCAAUAAGAAAUCUAUGAAAUGACGAAUCCUAGAUAAAUGAAGUUUUGUAAUAAUAUACAUGCUUUUUAUAUAUAAUACAAUAAUUUCAAAAGAGUUCUGAAAAAAAUUAAAAAGUAUUACAUACACCUAUGAUGGAUAAACAUAAAACAAAUCGAAACGCCUUCUGGAAUACACGAUUAACUACAACAAAAUAUAUAUAUGCAUAUUCAUUUAAAUUCUUUGCAUGUACUCUUAAAUAAAAUUUGUUAUUAAAGUCUAUGCAAAAGGAAACUAUAAAUAUUGGACACAGGGUAUUUCACGCGAUUAUAAUUGAAAUUAUCUUACCUACAUUUGCUUUGCAAUAAAAUAAAAUUCAAUUAUUAUGUUUUCCAUAAAUAUUUAAAAUAAAUUUACUAUUCUGCUGUUUUUCUAUCAAGGUUAAGUAUGUCUGGUUUAUAAAGAUGUACUGCCACGAAAUGAGUUCUGUAAAGACUCGUCCCAGAAAAAUUUUGACUUGUAGGUAAAAUAAGAAUAACACAAACGCUAUGUCAAUGGAAUACAUCAGUAAACCGCAAAGGAAGGGAAAAUGAAUCAAUUUAUUUUGGCGAAAAUAUAUUCAAAUUCGUCCCUAUAAAGAGACAAUUGACUCGAAAACAGAAUAAACAAAAUUGUACUGCCAAUGUUUUACGCCAUCCUAAUAUUGCAUAUGGGUAGGGAAGUUAUCGAUGGUAGGUUCGAAGAAUCCAAUCGAAUAUUUUUUUUAUGUUAUUAUUUGGGUCUUGAUUUUUUUUUCAAUUGACCAAUUUGAUAAUUGAUUGUAUUUGUUUUUACGGUCACAAUUGGAUUAGUGGUGGGAAGCACAUCUCCGUUUGUAGUUAUCUGAAACCAAAACGGUUUCUUAUUUUGUAUACUUGCCUCUAUCAUCCGAACUACGAUAAUAAUUUUAGCAUAAAAUGGUGGAGUUGUAAAAUUGAGUGAAUUUCCCAUUGAAGAUCCAGAAUAAAAAUAAGAAAUUAUUAAUUAGAAAACAUAAUCGUGGUUCGGACUAUGGAUGUGUAGAAUAUUGUGUAAAAAUUUCAGCCAGUUCGGUGGAACAAAGUUGUAGUUAAGCUUCCCACCAUUUCAAAAAAGGUUUUGAGAAAAACAUGUUUAAAGAUUUCGUUUUGUAUUCACACAACAUGAUUUGUGCUCUUGCAUUUGCUAUAACUUAUUAAAUGUUUUAUAUUUCCGUCUGAAAGAUGCAAUACACUCGCAACUCGUACAUUCAAUAUAUAUAAAAAUGAAAAAAUCGAUUUCUGGAAGCCGUCAGAUAGGAAAGCCCCCUUAACAUAGCGUAUACCUAAAAUCACUUUAAAAUUUUAAAUCAAUUUUUUAGAAACAGGCCAAAUAAAUAAAAGGAAUAUACCAAAAUUAAAAACGGGUCCGAUUGCCGGAAACUGGAUGCUUCAGUUAUAAAGGUUUUGUGUUUAUGCUGUGUAGAGAACUUUCUAUGCAUAUUUUUUCUAUACAUAGCCAAAAAAUUAAAAUAUUCCUUCAUUUAUUUCCAAACUCUACUAUAUAUUUAUGUACAUAUUAAAGGCUUAUAUAUUAUGCAAUGCUUGCCUACUAAAGUAUACUGAUGCGUAAAUGUACGCGUGUAAAUUGAUUUUAAGCAACUGAUUAUAUCCGACUUACCAGUUGGGCAAAAGCAUAUACAUAUAAAUAUCUCCAUAAAUUGGGUACCAUGGAAUCUUGCGCCACCGAUUAUUAUUAUUACACAAAUAACUAAGAAAGGAAAACUAAGAUGUUCCCCGCGGAAUUCGUUCGUUCGCUUUAUUUUGGCACUGAUAUAUUGAUAUAUUAUGUUUAUCUCAGAUGAUAUACACAUCGCAAAGUGCAAUAAAUUCUCAUGAAAUAUAAAAUUUUGACCUUCUAGAACUUUGUUAAUAAUAGUUUAAUUUCAUUUAAACUUUGCAUAAUGAUGUCUUCUAUUAUUACUUAUACUGAUGCCAAAUUCUGUACUCAGUUUGAACUUGAAGGGGUAUGCUAUUAUUAACUUUAUUUGAGCAUAUAUCGAAACGGAAUAUAUUUUCGUUUCAGAUCUAGAUUCCUUAAAGAUAAACACGGGGGGGGGGGGAUUUUUCCAGGUUUACAAGUCGAAUAGGUCUGGUUUUUAGACCUGUUUCGGUUUUUGGGGUAUAUAUUGUGAAGCAAAAUGAAACCACUCAUUGCAUGUAAAGGGUUUCACACACCAGCACAAAUCGAAAAAAAGUUCCUUAAAAUCCUUUCCUUCAUCAAGUUUACUAUCGAGUCCCAACCAGGCUUUCAUACUUUAUAAGGCAAGGAAAAAUAAUGACGAUACCGCACAGUAACAUCAGGUUGAAAAAUAUAAGCCGCUCAAUACUUCAACAUCCUACCAGUAGUCUCAUUUUUGAUAAUGUAAAUACUUCUGUAUUAUGUGGAAAUGAUUGAACGGUUUUUCUUUUUUACUAGUAUUUUAUUUGAGACAAUAUUUACCGAAAUUUCGGGAACUACCUGUUCCCGUUUUUAGUGGUUUACGGUUUAUGCGUUUUCUCCCGAAGAACAAAAACAGGCAGUUUUUAUCAAAUUGGAAAAAUUUCAAACGAAAGCAAAAAAGGAAAUGGUAAUCCUUUUUCUCGUUAGUGCUUUGAGAGGCACUAAAAUAAACUAUUAAACCUCACGUGAAAAAUUUUUUUUUGUUCUUAGACUUUUGGAAUUUUGGUUUAGAUAUUACAUGCAUGCAAAAAACUUUAUCCUCUUGAAAAUUACUGAUGUAAUCCAAGAAGUUAUUGUAGUCUUAAUAUGACAGAUUUCCUGUGUAGAAAUUUAAUUUAUUUACUCCGUGGUAAGUUGAGCUGAGACUUGGUGGGGUGAAGUGGCUCACUGUGACUUUUUGAGCCGCAGUUUUCACUGGUGACGCAAUUGUGGUUGACUAUAGCUAAAAACUGGUUGCACGUUUUCAAUGAAGUUUGCGCUGGUGUUUACUUUGUAUUACUUUGUAUUAUGUUAAUGAAUUUGAUAGGCAGCAUUUUAAUGCUGAUUUUAAUCAGGCGUAACGAAGAACGGAUAUUACAGCAAAGUUUCAAGUAGCUCACUUAAGUAGACUAUUAUCUGCAAAGCAAAUGUAUUUAGGAUCACUUAAAGUAAAAUUAUAAACAAAUGAACAUGUUUAUUGUAUAUCUACGAAAUUUGAAAGCGAAACAAUAAGCGUAGAAGCAACUAGAAGAGUAAGACUUAAUCAAGAAGUAAAUAAAUAUUUCACUGAGAGGUAGUAUUCAUGAUAUUAUGAACUAUGGACUCCUACCACUGAGAAGUACGUUAUUGUAUGAGCAUUAACGGAAUAAAGUUUAGCUUUGGGAGAAACUCUCAAAACCAUUAUUUGGUUCGUUUAUAUUUUCUUAUAUUAUAAGAGUGAGUAUUUUAGAGCAGCUCUACAUUGGACUAUAAAUCAAGUUUUAAAAAAUAUUACCUGACAUGAUUGGGAUGGUUUUAUAACUUCAUAAAUAUUUGAUAGCAUCUACAAUAUUAUACUCGAACUAAUAUUUAUAUAUUUAUUUAAUAUUGUGAUUGAAUAUUACAUAAACUUUAUGCAUUGCGUCAUUUCUGCCAAAAUGAACGAAUUAUCAAAGUAAAUAUGCAAUACAGAUGAAAAACUUUGAAUUUGGAUAGUCUAAUAUAUUAAAAUAUAGCAUAUAUUUUGAAGUGUGAAAACUUUAAUUUAGUUCACAAAUCAAAAAGAGAAUGCGAAAUCAAAAUUUCACUCACACAUUAAAGGCGAAAAGUAUCCAAAUUAUAUUAACUAAGUAAGACUAAGGGUAAAUAACAUUUCCACCGAUUAUAUAAAACAAUACACAGCACUACUUUUGCUAGUAUUAGAAAUAUAUCAAUUUUGGGCUACCAUGCAGUUACCAUUUAAGCAGUAAAAACGAUAUGGCUAGAAAGCGAAUUUAUAUUAACAUGUUUGGAAAAAAUAUACAGAUUCGUUCUAUUUUUUUUUCAUUUUAGAUAUUUUAAUGAAACGUACCAGAAAAUGAUCUGCUUUUAAGCAAACAAUAGGGAAUAUAACAUUAGAAUGAUCUAUAUAAAUAUAAGAAAUAUAAAAUCUCAAAUCUACUUUUAAUAGAUAUGAAAAGCGAAUAGAACAAUUAUUUUUAAAGUUGAAAAAAAAAGUAUUUAUAAAAAUUUAAUAUAUAUUUAUUUGAAAUAAACAAAUUGAAAUUUACAAAAAAUUGAACAAACUAUUUAAUACGAAACAUAAAGGUUUUUAGCAAGUAACCAAAAACCUAAACUAAAAACAAUUGAAAAUUAUAUAUAAGCUUAAAUAUUUUGUCAUACAUACAUGCGUACACUGUUAUUAGUUCUAGAAUGACAACCACGAAUAGUGUUACGAAAAUUAUUCCGUUCUAUAUAUUUUUACAGCAGAAGAAUAUUUCUGAACACGCCAUAGACGUAAAAGUAAUAACAGAACUGACAUUCAAAUAGUAUAUGAUGGUUAGGUAUUAUGAUUAUAAGAUACCGAUUACUAACGACCUAUAAAUUUUAGUUAGCAGUGAAUCCAACAUUUGAACCGUACUAAUGAAACUGUUAUCAAUAAAAGUAAAACAAUUAAGUUAUUGUA
Molecule: unclassified non-coding RNA, 12182 nt
Filed under: Hermetia illucens (black soldier fly)
Lineage: Eukaryota; Metazoa; Arthropoda; Insecta; Diptera; Stratiomyidae
Description: cUGBP Elav-like family member 4, transcript variant X6
Source: RNAcentral